ACGAACGCUGGCGGCGUGCUUAACACAUGCAAGUCGAGCGGUAAGGCCCUUUCGGGGGUACGACGAGCGGCGAACGGGUGAGUAACACGUGGGUGACCUGCCCUCAGCUCUGGGAUAAGCCUGGGAAACCGGGUCUAAUACUGGAUAUGACUCCAUGACGCAUGUUGUGGGGUGGAAAGCCUUGUGCGGCUGAGGAUGGGCCCGCGGCCUAUCAGCUUGUUGGUGGGGUGAUGGCCUACCAAGGCGACGACGGGUAGCCGGCCUGAGAGGGCGACCGGCCACACUGGGACUGAGACACGGCCCAGACUCCUACGGGAGGCAGCAGUGGGGAAUCUUGCGCAAUGGGCGAAAGCCUGACGCAGCGACGCCGCGUGAGGAUGACGG
Molecule: ribosomal RNA, 384 nt
Filed under: uncultured bacterium
Lineage: Bacteria
Description: bacterial SSU rRNA
Rfam family: Bacterial small subunit ribosomal RNA
Source: RNAcentral